RNAcentral lists this ribosomal RNA (497 nucleotides) under uncultured bacterium. RNAcentral describes it as "partial 16S ribosomal RNA". It matches the Rfam family "Bacterial small subunit ribosomal RNA", at positions 28 to 507 of the family's 1533-position model. The record is from RNAcentral.
GAUGAACGCUUUCUUCUUUCCUAAUACAUUCAAGUCGAGCGAACAGACGAGGAGCUUGCUCCUCUGACGUUAGCGGCGGACGGGUGAGUAACACGUGGAUAACCUACCUAUAAGACUGGGAUAACUUCGGGAAACCGGAGCUAAUACCGGAUAAUAUAUUGAACCGCAUGGUUCAAUAGUGAAAGACGGUUUUGCUGUCACUUAUAGAUGGAUCCGCGCCGCAUUAGCUAGUUGGUAAGGUAACGGCUUACCAAGGCAACGAUGCGUAGCCGACCUGAGAGGGUGAUAGGCCACACUGGAACUGAGACACGGUCCAGACUCCUACGGGAGGCAGCAGUAGGGAAUCUUCCGCAAUGGGCGAAAGCCUGACGGAGCAACGCCGCGUGAGUGAUGAAGGUCUUCGGAUCGUAAAAAUCUGUUAUUAGGGAAGAACAAAUGUGUAAGUAACUAUGCACGUCUUGACGGUACCUAAUCAGAAAGCCAAGGCUAACUACGGG